UUUGAGUGAAGAAAGACAAAAAUCAAGUGAUAUUAAUCAAUCAACAACAUUCUAAGCCUUAGGAUCACAAGUUCGGUUUCAUGCUUCCGAUAACCAAUGUUAAUAACAUAGAGCUAGAAGUUGAGAAUUUAAACUCGAUAAGAAACAUAAUUCAGAAUUUAACAUAAAAGUCUUAAGUUGGAGAAACAAAAGACAAAUAAGAGCUAGUGUAACAGCGGAAGACAAAAUACGGAGUUGAACUCUAGCCUCAGCUCUGCCCCGUCAGCACCGACCAAUCAACCUGAAAACAUUUGAAAGUAAUUUUGGGCUAAGUACUAAUGUACUUAGUGGGCUAGCAUUUUUAUAAACAUUUCAUAAUCAUAAGAGCAGUUUAUCCAAUUAUACUUUACAUGACUUAGAAGGUUUUAAAACAAAAAUAACUUCUAAGCAUGUUAAAACAUUUUAUUAUAUUGCGCGCAAUUGUCACACUCCCUUUCCGUUACUCGCUGUGAUCCCGGACCUUUUAGCCACCGACGGAUCCAUUACUCCUGCUUUACUUGGACUGAGGGCGUAACCCAGCCAAGCUCCCAUUUGGGACCCAAUGCUCCGGAACACAUCCCGUCGAGCACCCUUAUAACGCCUCAUACAUGAUUAGUGCCCGAUGGAGAUCAACCCACCGAGUCAGCUAAUAGGUGUACACAAUUCUCAAACAACGUGUUAGGUCAUAAGAGAACCUCGAUCGAUUAACUUAUGCGAGCCUUAAACAGAGCAGAGUGCACAAAAAUAUUUAUUGGAUAAACAGUUUUCAUUUCAUUGAAAUAUUUAAGCUCAAUAGCUAAAUCAUACAUUUGGAAAUAAGCCACCUGAUUAGGCAAUGCCUGUCGUUUAUUCUUAACUCUGAAUUGAUAUAGCAGCGCUAGUCC
This 902-nucleotide long non-coding RNA is filed under the name Salvia miltiorrhiza (redroot sage). RNAcentral's name for it is "long non-coding RNA (SMIL_LNC000807)". Lineage: Eukaryota; Viridiplantae; Streptophyta; Magnoliopsida; Lamiales; Lamiaceae. The record is from RNAcentral.